CUAACGUCCGUCGUGAAGAGGGAAACAACCCAGACCGCCAGCUAAGGUCCCAAAGUCAUGGUUAAGUGGGAAACGAUGUGGGAAGGCCCAGACAGCCAGGAUGUUGGCUUAGAAGCAGCCAUCAUUUAAAGAAAGCGUAAUAGCUCACUGGUCGAGUCGGCCUGCGCGGAAGAUGUAACGGGGCUAAACCAUGCACCGAAGCUGCGGCAGCGACACUAUGUGUUGUUGGGUAGGGGAGCGUUCUGUAAGCCUGUGAAGGUGGCCUGUGAGGGUUGCUGGAGGUAUCAGAAGUGCGAAUGCUGACAUAAGUAACGAUAAAGCGGGUGAAAAGCCCGCUCGCCGGAAGACCAAGGGUUCCUGUCCAACGUUAAUCGGGGCAGGGUGAGUCGACCCCUAAGGCGAGGCCGAAAGGCGUAGUCGAUGGGAAACAGGUUAAUAUUCCUGUACUUGGUGUUACUGCGAAGGGGGGACGGAGAAGGCUAUGUUGGCCGGGCGACGGUUGUCCCGGUUUAAGCGUGUAGGCUGAUUUUCCAGGCAAAUCCGGAAAAUCAAGGCUGAGGCGUGAUGACGAGGCACUACGGUGCUGAAGCAACAAAUGCCCUGCUUCCAGGAAAAGCCUCUAAGCAUCAGGUAACAUCAAAUCGUACCCCAAACCGACACAGGUGGUCAGGUAGAGAAUACCAAGGCGCUUGAGAGAACUCGGGUGAAGGAACUAGGCAAAAUGGUGCCGUAACUUCGGGAGAAGGCACGCUGAUAUGUAGGUGAAGCG
This 769-nucleotide ribosomal RNA is filed under the name Escherichia coli. RNAcentral's name for it is "partial 23S ribosomal RNA". It matches the Rfam family "Bacterial large subunit ribosomal RNA", at positions 998 to 1767 of the family's 2925-position model. Lineage: Bacteria; Pseudomonadati; Pseudomonadota; Gammaproteobacteria; Enterobacterales; Enterobacteriaceae. The record is from RNAcentral.